Long non-coding RNA from Neofelis nebulosa (Clouded leopard), 705 nucleotides. RefSeq lists it as uncharacterized. The record is from RefSeq and is a predicted model, not a curated record. NCBI's taxonomy places the organism in Eukaryota, Metazoa, Chordata, Mammalia, Carnivora, Felidae. The transcript has 3 exons.
AUUUCUAUAGGAGCAAGUGCUAGAACAGAAGUUUUCACCAAAAACAAAGGAAGUAAGUAGAGACAAAAGCAAUACAACAAGACCAAGGAAAAAAAAGCCAGGAUGUUGAUUUGGGGACUCUUGACAGUGGAAGGAGGUGCCAGCCAACUACUGAGAGGAAUGGAUCAGGCUUUUAAGAAAUUACUUCUGUGAUGAAGAGAGGAAAAGAUCCCAGAUUCUUUACCCAAGGAAUUCCCACCACCUUGUGUGAACAGAGAACAGAGAGCGAACAGAGAGCAUGGAGGAGCAGGUGGCCAGCAGCCCUGGGAUGGGGUGGGGGACAGAAACUCAGCACCUGACUGAGGUAAGGAGGAUUUCCUAAUGCAAAAACUUGGAAGUAAUCUUAUCCCCGUGAGCUAAAAUUUAUUUAAUGCUUGUAGCUUUUCCCGAGUAGCUCCAAAUCAUGCAUUAUUGGGUGGUUAUUUAUUUUAAUAUUCUCUGUCAAUGGUUUUCUUACUGAGGGACAAUUUACCAGUGUUUGAUUUUGAUAGUGGAAUAUUUGGGGACGAAAGAACAAAUAAACUCUGCCUCAUUUAGAGCUUUUUGUACAAACAAAUGGCUUAACAUUUUCAAUCUUUCACGUUAUGUCUCUACCAUGCAAGUGCCUUGAACAACCAUGGGUAUAGCAGGGGAAAAAAUGUACUAUCUGAGGGCUCUCCAGUUAGA